Molecule: non-coding RNA, 108 nt
Organism: Vigna angularis (adzuki bean)
Lineage: Eukaryota; Viridiplantae; Streptophyta; Magnoliopsida; Fabales; Fabaceae
Source: Rfam
AAUCUGGUGGUGCGAGAAGCUAUCACAAAGCUUCUUAAACCUUUCCCAUUAUUCAUAUAAGUUUUCUCCACCAAACUGCCUAAUCCCAGAAAUGUCUUUUCUGAUAAU